CCUGAGAAACCCAAAAGAUCGAAUGGGGAGAUUCAUCGUCAGCGUUCUUGGUACGUGUACGGAACGGGAUGUCGGAGACUUCGGUCUUCAGGCACUCGUCCGUAUGUUUUUUAUUGCCUCGAUCGUCGGCGUGCACUUCUCCCCUAGUAGGACGUCGCGACCCGUUGGGUGUCGGUCUACGGCCCGGGCGGUAGCCUGUCUCGUGUUCGCUUCGCGGCGUUACGCGGUUCAGACCCCCGGUUGCCCGACCGGCUGCUCGGCGGUACUCGCACGGUAUCUGGCCGCAAAUAUUCGAACUGCGUCCGGCCCGUCGCAAGCGAGGCAAAGUGUUUCCCGGUUGUACGGAUCUAAUGCCGUCACCGGGCCUUGCCAGCUGUUGGCAGACGGUGUCCUAGGACUGGCUAAUAAAAUUAUGAUACCGGUCGGCGACGCUACUGCUUUGGGUACUUUCAGGACCCGUCUUGAAACACGGACCAAGGAGUCUAACAUGUGCGCGAGUCAUUGGGAACUAUUAAGCCUAAAGGCGCAAUGAAAGUGAAGGUAGGCCUUGCGCCGACCGAGGGAGGAUGGGCCGCGUCACGAUGCGGUCCCGCACUCCCGGGGCGUCUCGUUCUCAUUGCGAGAAGAGGCGCACCCAGAGCGU
RNAcentral lists this ribosomal RNA (643 nucleotides) under Agrothereutes abbreviatus. RNAcentral's name for it is "eukaryotic LSU rRNA". It matches the Rfam family "Eukaryotic large subunit ribosomal RNA", at positions 420 to 803 of the family's 3401-position model. The record is from RNAcentral. Lineage: Eukaryota; Metazoa; Arthropoda; Insecta; Hymenoptera; Ichneumonidae.